This 460-nucleotide ribosomal RNA is filed under the name uncultured bacterium. RNAcentral's name for it is "partial 16S ribosomal RNA". It matches the Rfam family "Bacterial small subunit ribosomal RNA", at positions 338 to 795 of the family's 1533-position model. The record is from RNAcentral.
CCUACGGGUGGCAGCAGUGAGGAAUAUUGGUCAAUGGGCGGAAGCCUGAACCAGCCAAGUAGCGUGCAGGAUGACGGCCCUACGGGUUGUAAACUUCUUUUAUACGGGAAUAACGCCCCUUACGCGUAGGCCUUUGCGUGUACCGUAUGAAUAAGGACCGGCUAACUCCGUGCCAGCAGCCGCGGUAAUACGGAGGGUGCAAGCGUUACCCGGAAUUACUGGGGGUAAAGGGUGCGCAGGCGGGCUUGUAAGGCAGAUGUGAAAUCCUGGGGCUUAACUACAGACCUGCAUUUGAAACUAGGAGUCUAGAGUGGGGGAGAGGUAGGUGGAAUGCUUGGUGUAGGGGUAAAAUGCGUAGAUAUCAAGAAGAAUACUCAUUGCGAAGGCGGCCUACUGGAACAUUACUGACGCUCAUGCACGAAAGCGUGGGUAGCAAACAGGAUUAGAUACCCGAGUAGUC